Lampris incognitus (smalleye Pacific opah) is the source of this 252-nucleotide long non-coding RNA. RefSeq lists it as uncharacterized. The record is from RefSeq and is a predicted model, not a curated record. NCBI's taxonomy places the organism in Eukaryota, Metazoa, Chordata, Actinopteri, Lampriformes, Lampridae. The transcript is spliced from 3 exons.
UGGAUUUGACGUCGGCGCACGUCGCUUGAUGUUUUCAGGUCGGCUGCUGGCCGGUUUCGAAAAUGGGGGAGCCCAGUGGCCCGAGACACCCGGUAAAGUGUGACAUCACUUUGGAGGGCUCACUUCACUGAAUUGGAUUAUUUUUGUCCGGCAGCCUAUAUAGGCCUACUAACCUAAGACAUAUUGCUCAAUGGACACUUUGCUGAAGUCAGAGAUCAGGGCCCAGCAGUAGAAACUGUCUUCUUAACACCG